CUUGACACUGAACAUUGAGCCUUGAUGUGUAGGAUAGGUGGGAGGCUUUGAAGUGUGGACGCCAGUCUGCAUGGAGCCGGCCUUGAAAUACCACCCUUUAAUGUUUGAUGUUCUAACGUUGACCCGUGAUCCGGGUUGCGGACAGUGUCUGGUGGGUAGUUUGACUGGGGCGGUCUCCUCCUAAAGAGUAACGGAGGAGCACGAAGGUUGGCUAAUCCUGGUCGGACAUCAGGAGGUUAGUGCAAUGGCAUAAGC
RNAcentral lists this ribosomal RNA (255 nucleotides) under Escherichia coli. RNAcentral describes it as "partial 23S ribosomal RNA". It matches the Rfam family "Bacterial large subunit ribosomal RNA", at positions 2110 to 2364 of the family's 2925-position model. Lineage: Bacteria; Pseudomonadati; Pseudomonadota; Gammaproteobacteria; Enterobacterales; Enterobacteriaceae. The record is from RNAcentral.